UUGAACGCUGGCGGCAGGCCUAACACAUGCAAGUCGAGCGGAUGAAGGGAGCUUGCUCCUGGAUUCAGCGGCGGACGGGUGAGUAAUGCCUAGGAAUCUGCCUGGUAGUGGGGGAUAACGUCCGGAAACGGGCGCUAAUACCGCAUACGUCCUGAGGGAGAAAGUGGGGAAUCUUCGGACCUCACGCUAUCAGAUGAGCCUAGGUCGGAUUAGCUAGUUGGUGGGGUAAAGGCCUACCAAGGCGACGAUCCGUAACUGGUCUGAGAGGAUGAUCAGUCACACUGGAACUGAGACACGGUCCAGACUCCUACGGGAGGCAGCAGUGGGGAAUAUUGGACAAUGGGCGAAAGCCUGAUCCAGCCAUGCCGCGUGUGUGAAGAAGGUCUUCGGAUUGUAAAGCACUUUAAGUUGGGAGGAAGGGCAGUAAGUUAAUACCUUGCUGUUUUGACGUUACCAACAGAAUAAGCACCGGCUAACUUCGCG
Molecule: ribosomal RNA, 483 nt
Filed under: uncultured bacterium
Lineage: Bacteria
Description: partial 16S ribosomal RNA
Rfam family: Bacterial small subunit ribosomal RNA
Source: RNAcentral